UGAGUAAUGUCUGGGAAACUGCCUGAUGGAGGGGGAUAACUACUGGAAACGGUAGCUAAUACCGCAUAACGUCGCAAGACCAAAGAGGGGGACCUUCGGGCCUCUUGCCAUCAGAUGUGCCCAGAUGGGAUUAGCUAGUAGGUGGGGUAAUGGCUCACCUAGGCGACGAUCCCUAGCUGGUCUGAGAGGAUGACCAGCCACACUGGAACUGAGACACGGUCCAGACUCCUACGGGAGGCAGCAGUGGGGAAUAUUGCACAAUGGGCGCAAGCCUGAUGCAGCCAUGCCGCGUGUGUGAAGAAGGCCUUCGGGUUGUAAAGCACUUUCAGCGAGGAGGAAGGUGGUGAACUUAAUACGUUCAUCAAUUGACGUUACUCGCAGAAGAAGCACCGGCUAACUCCGUACCAGCAGCCGCGGUAAUACGGAGGGUGCAAGCGUUAAUCGGAAUUACUGGGCGUAAAGCGCACGCAGGCGGUUUGUUAAGUCAGAUGUGAAAUCCCCGGG
Molecule: ribosomal RNA, 504 nt
Filed under: uncultured bacterium
Lineage: Bacteria
Description: bacterial SSU rRNA
Rfam family: Bacterial small subunit ribosomal RNA
Source: RNAcentral